This 765-nucleotide ribosomal RNA is filed under the name uncultured Streptococcus sp. RNAcentral's name for it is "bacterial SSU rRNA". It matches the Rfam family "Bacterial small subunit ribosomal RNA", at positions 28 to 776 of the family's 1533-position model. Lineage: Bacteria; Bacillati; Bacillota; Bacilli; Lactobacillales; Streptococcaceae. The record is from RNAcentral.
GACGAACGCUGGCGGCGUGCCUAAUACAUGCAAGUAGAACGCUGAAGAGAGGAGCUUGCUCUUCUUGGAAGAGUUGCGAACGGGUGAGUAACGCGUAGGUAACCUGCCUUGUAGCGGGGGAUAACUAUUGGAAACGAUAGCUAAUACCGCGUAACAAUGGGUGACCCAUGUCAUUCAUUUAAAAGGGGCAACUGCUCCACUACAAGAUGGACCUGCGUUGUAUUAGCUAGUAGGUGAGGUAACGGCUCACCUAGGCGACGAUACAUAGCCGACCUGAGAGGGUGAUCGGCCACACUGGGACUGAGACACGGCCCAGACUCCUACGGGAGGCAGCAGUAGGGAAUCUUCGGCAAUGGGGGCAACCCUGACCGAGCAACGCCGCGUGAGUGAAGAAGGUUUUCGGAUCGUAAAGCUCUGUUGUAAGUCAAGAACGAGUGUGAGAGUGGAAAGUUCACACUGUGACGGUAGCUUACCAGAAAGGGACGGCUAACUACGUGCCAGCAGCCGCGGUAAUACGUAGGUCCCGAGCGUUGUCCGGAUUUAUUGGGCGUAAAGCGAGCGCAGGCGGUUUGAUAAGUCUGAAGUUAAAGGCUGUGGCUCAACCAUAGUUUGCUUUGGAAACUGUCAAACUUGAGUGCAGAAGGGGAGAGUGGAAUUCCAUGUGUAGCGGUGAAAUGCGUAGAUAUAUGGAGGAACACCGGUGGCGAAAGCGGCUCUCUGGUCUGUAACUGACGCUGAGGCUCGAAAGCGUGGGGAGCGAACAGG